Long non-coding RNA from Pezoporus occidentalis (night parrot), 8512 nucleotides. RefSeq lists it as uncharacterized. The record is from RefSeq and is a predicted model, not a curated record. The transcript is spliced from 7 exons. NCBI's taxonomy places the organism in Eukaryota, Metazoa, Chordata, Aves, Psittaciformes, Psittacidae.
CAAACCUGGGGGGGCCAUGAGACAUUGCACUCGGCUCACACACAGAGGAGCCCCACCAAACAAAGCAGGGGACAGGAUGAGGAGGGAUCUCCACAAGUAUUUCUGCUGCCCAGUUUCCCAUGGAUUUAGGGUCUCCCAUUUCUGUGUGCCCCAUCCCUGUAUGCUCUCACCUCCAUUCUCUCAGUCUCACUGAGCCUGUAGUUUGGGAAAAACAGGCUCCCACCCAAACCAGUUUGCCACAGCCCUCUCCUUGUGUGCAAGAUAAGCAGGUAUGGCUUUCAAACCAGUACGGUUUGGCUGUAGAGCUGGGGAGAGAUGUAGGUCUCAGUCAGUCCUGCAACAUUUCUGACCUCGUUUGGCUGCAAGUCUCAGGCCUCAAGCAACAACCUUAUAUCUUUGAAGCUUACCCUUUGUCCUAUUCCAGUUACAAAGCUAUUUUAUCAACGUGGAAUGGGAUAAUUCAAUCUCCACAACCCUCAGUGCUGAGCUCUUCUAUUGAGAUUCCCAGUAGCAUUGUGUUUUCAGCAAUGACACUAUUACUAUCAUUUUGUGGAGGUUUCUGAGUUCAUGCCUUGAUGAUCUCUAACACCACAAAGCAGGGAUGGGUAUUUCAUCCCAGCAGGGUGUUGGAAAUAGUAUAAGAAAAACUUAGGUUAAUAUAAUCCAAACACUAUCUCAGAUUGUGCCAAUCAAAAAGCUGGAUUCCAGCACUUCACAUCUUCAUGUUGGCUGCAAGGUUUUUAAAUGUGUUUGCUUUCUGCAGAAUAAACACCGUUUUCAAGCAGUGUAGUUUCCAUUUGGAAAGCAAAACUUCUUGCUCUAAAAAUGCCAAAGCAAAUUUGAUUUUAAAUUCUUCUUUAAUUGAUGCAAUUUCAUCUGGAUCAUUCCUUUUCUGCAGCUUCAGAGUCAACAAAUGGGCAUGGUGAGAUGUUCCCUGGGAAAGUUUAUGACCACUGUUACUUCACCUCUGUGAGUUUCCACCUCUAAGCGGCUCGGUCCUGGGCUGAGAAGGUCGAUCCCUGCUGGUGCUGUCUGCUGAAUCAAGGGGAGAGCCCUUAAGAGCCUGACACAAGCACCCCGGGCUGUGCCAGCCUCAUCUUGCACAGGAGACCCGCUUACCACCAUAAGCUGGCCUGUCUUUCUUGCCUCAACCAGCACAAAAGCAUCUUCAGUGACUCACUGCUCCCUAACCCACCUGUGGUUUCCUCCUUGUUUCACAGCACACACAGCAGCCUCCUCUCUUGUACCUGCACCAAUGUUCAGAUCUCACACACGUAUCAUGCUUCCCUCAACUGGUGUAGCCUUGUGGGUAUAGGUAGGUGUUCCUACUCCUGAUGGCUGUUACAUGAAAUAGAUCAUUAAUUGUGGUAGUCAAACAGUUGCUCUAGGACAGCCACAGUCUCUGGGGUGUCACCAGCUUUCUGCAGAGACCCCACAGGACAAGUUAAUGGUACAGGUGAAUGACUUGGUAACAAAGCCUAUCCUGCUUCUUUUUCCAGACUCUAUUACCAGUUUUACAUCUGUUUUCACAGCGACUACAUUCAAAAUCCUAUUAUCCGUGACAGUGAUGCAGGAUCUCUGCUGGCAGAACAUGAACAUUACCAGCUCUGAAUUUGUAACUUCACUUCCUAUGAAAGUGGCCAAAGCACAUUCUGCAAGCACCAAAAUCUCACUUGCGGUUCUUACUGCAAUGGGCCUGCUCCUGCUGUGUGCUGAGCACAUGUAACUUCCAUGGGAGCCCAUGGCAGUGGCGUUUGCUCAGUGGUGCAGGCUGAGCUGUUACUCUGCCUGGAGACCUUGCUGCCUAUCCCUGACAUAAGGAAUGUAUAAAGAGGAAGACAGCUUGAAGUUGCUGGCUGGCUGUAGCUCUGCACCAGCUGCACAGCCUCUGUGUACCUGGUCUGGAGCUGAAGACAAACAGCAUUUUCUAAAGAUUUGAAGCUGUAUUUUCAGUUAAAUGGAAAAUACUGUCCUUAUUCAUCCUAACACUCCUGAUACAUGAGACUGAAGUUUGAACUGGGAGCCUGUGAAGGAUGGUUCACCCUGCAGUCAGUAGAGACAGUAAGCAAUUGAGACCUUAUGGCAGGUGAAUCACCCACUGAAGGAGCCUUUCUCUUUCUUUGUGGAGGGUAGAGAGGGUCUAGAGAGCGACUACAGCUCCUAAGGUGCAAAUGGAGAAGAGGGCUGAGACUCUCUUAGCUCUCUGACGGGAGCGUGGCAAGUCCUGCUGCCCAGCCCCAGGCUGCAUCACCUUCACACUGCCUUGGCCUUGUGUCCAGCUUUAGCUGUGUGGAUUCAGAAACUUCACUUUGUUUGGCCAGUCAUUUUCUGCCAGUUUAGGGGUCUAAGAUGGCCCAGUAAGGGGUCAGACAAGUGCCAGAGACAGCACGAAGCCAGGGUAGGUAAGGGAGGUGUAGAAAUGCCUUUCUCAGCAGAUGCAGAAAGCUGCUAGAUUGGCCCCAUCAUAAAUAGGCUCUUCAGCAUAAAGUGCCUAGUGUGAGUUGGAAUGAACCCACUUCCCAAACCACUUAGAUGUUUUCUGAUAACUGUCCCGUGCCUGGCGCUUGGCAUCAGCCCAUGUUACACCCUCGUGUCUGGGACUCUGUAAUAAAGAUAAGGCAGGUUGUAUCGCACAAUGGAAACUCAGUCUGAAGCUCAGCUGAACAACUGUACUAGGGAGAUUUCUAGAUCCAUUUAGUGUCUGUUGUCUCCAGCAGGGUCAUCAAAAAUCAGCUCUGCCAAUUUUCUCAGCUUGAAGCUUACACUUCAGGCUGAGAAAUUCCCCAUGGAGGCUCUUAGGGGAGAGCCUCUGAUGGGUUACAUCUAUACAGGAGCCUUGAAGCCAUUUCAUUCUUUCAGACAGCCCUGAAAACUGCAUCUCUGAUGUGCUGUUCCAGGAAUGAAUCACAGUUUCUGAGAGCAGUACUCAGGGGUGUCUGAAGGAUCCGCAUUAGACAGACACCACAAAAGCUGUUGGAAAAAAUGGCAUGAAUGAAAGAAAAAGAGCAGUGCCUGGUGUCUUCCGUUUCCCUAAAGCUCAGGCACAGCACAAACCAAGUGAGGCAUGGGGUUCAAGGUAAAGCCAACAUCAGCAGUGAGAUCCAGGUCUGACUUAUCCACUCCUGGAGGGGGCUGGAAAACAAAUCUGCGGAGCAAGCCAGCAAAGAAGAGGAACAGCUCCAUUUUGGCCAGUCCUUCUCCAACACAAGCCCUUCGUCCUGAAAACAGCCAGGAGAGAAGUAUAUGGUGAGUGCUGUAACUGUUACUGUUGAUGUCCGAGACCUUUUAAACUGGAUGUACAAUCUGUAAGAGCAGGCUGCUCAGAAGAAGACCCCAGCGCACAGUUGUAGAAGUAGUCUCAGUCCCAGCAGCAAAGAGGUCCAGGGUUGAAAACAUCAAGUUUCCAUUGCUGAACAUAGUUUGGCCUUUCUUUGACUCCUUCAAAACAUACAGGAAGGUUUAGGAUGAUCUCCUCCUUAUGUGUGCUGAGUGGUAACUUAUUUCACUUACGUGGGGCAUCUUGACAACUAGAUCCCUGUAACCAGCAGUUUCAGUGGAGCUAUGGAGCGAGCACAGCGCGGCUCAAUGGUACCCUUUCUUCUAUGACAACCUGGAAGAUUUCAGUGUCUGCACUCCCCCCCUCAUUGUGGCUCUUCAGGUGGCUGAGAGAAUUUACUGGGGACUGGGUUUCCCCCAUCAUAGUGUCUGGUAAGCCCACAUGUAGGGUAUGUGACAGGUCAUUCAUGGCACCUCAACUGUUUCUACAGCAACCGGAAGAAAUCUGAAUUCACAUUGACGUGUCCCCACCACCCUAACGGAACACAGCAGACACUUUCUGAAACAAAUAUUGCACCUGGAUUUAUAAUAUUUAAGUCUUUUUUUUUUCCCUCUUUUAGUGAUAAAAGUAUCCAUGGAGCUGCAUAAGAAAAAGCUAUUUGUUACCUAGACAUAUAAAAGCCGUGCAUCAAGUCUUAACUAAUGCUGGGCAGUGUGUGUGUGCAGGGGAAGGGCUGGGGAGGCAGAGCUGAGCUUUGCCUUGAAGGGGUAUAAUUAGCUUUGGAAAUAAAUGUGCAUAUGAUACCAUUUCCCUGGAAGUGUUCAAGGCCAGAUUAGAUGGGGCCUUGAGCAAUCUGGUUGACUGAAAGGUGGCCCUGCCCAUGGCAGUGUGUCAGAGCUAGAUGAUCUUUAAGGUUCCUUCCAACCCAAACCAUUCUGUGAUUCUAUGAUUUCUUCUGCUGUGGGCAUGGUACCCUUCCUUCCUUUCUCCUUUUCUUCCUUCCUACCUACCUUCAGUGGGAAAGGUUUAUCUGCAGCGAGACAUCUCUUCAAGCCAAAUAGCCCAUAUCUGUCAGCAGGCUGGUCCAACCUGAGUCUUCUACCUGCAGACUCUGAGGGGCUCAAAAUAUCAACAAUAUGGAUCUGAUUGCAAGGGCUGGGGUCUACACUCACAUGUAUAUAAAGGAAGGAAUACGUGUAUUAUAGUUAUAUAAAUAGAUACAUGUGUGUGCAUAUAUACCUCUAAAGAUAGUCAUUCUGCCAGCCUGGCUAUACAUCAAAUAUAUAAUUUCUGCCCUCCGCACAAUGCAAACACAAUCACAUCUCCAUUUCCACAGUUGUGUUUCUCAUUCCAGGAAUUGCAUGUUUUCCUUCUGCCUGCUCACUCAGACCCUACCUCUGUCAGCGACUGGAACGGCUUUUUCAGGUCCACCACAUUCAAGUUUCCAAUCAGAGGAAGAGGACGUGGCCCAGGAGGCAAACUGCAAACAGACUUCUUCAAGCUGGUAACGAAGUAAAGGAGAGCAACCAGACCUGCUGCCAGAAAGAGCAACAAGCUAGAGCCCAUGUACUGCAGCAAACUCUGUAUGGCCAUUUCUAAAUCAAAGUGUGGGCAUGAGCAUCUUGGGGUCCCUUUAUAGCAUCAUCUGAACACACCUUCUGGGGAAGUGGCUUUACAUGGAGAAAAGGAGCCUAAGUCUUGUUUACUUCCACUUAGGCCAGAUGUAUUUUAUUUUUCUGCCAAAGAAAGCACCCUAUUUUAUUCUGAAACAUGGAUUAUCUUAAUCUGGAGCUCUUAUUUCAUUUACAACACUGGGACAAGGUGUUUGUUUUCCAGUGAAAAUCUGUGUUGUGGACAUGUUGUGGUAUAUGUGAUUUCAGGCACAGAAUUAAGGGACCGCUCUGGGUUGCUGUCAGGGUGCCAGGUCACAGGACUCAGCUGGACCACUGGUGAUGUAAGCUUCCUUGGUGAUUCCUUCCCAAGAAUGCCUUGUCCUUUCCAAAAUACUGGGCGCCAAGCCUCAUGCAGGCUAUUGCCAUUGGACAUGCUCAGGAUUUCUUUGGAGGUGUCUCGGGCUUUUUUGUCCUCUUCCUUUGCAUCCUCUUUCUGCUGCUGCAUUGUCUGUAUCUGAUGGACUGAUGUAUCUGGUGGGCAAUUGGUUUACUAUUUUCAAAAAGCUUAUUUACGACUGUACUUGCUGUAUGCUGUACCUUGCGAUACUGAAAUCUAUAUUGACUCUUGUUUAUAUAUGGAUACUGUUAUAACAUCUUUGUUUAGUAUUGACUUCCUUCCUUGGGAAGGAAGCAGGACACGGGAGGGAAAGCCCCCAAUAAUGCAUGGCCCAAGGGACAGCUGGCAAGGAAGACCUCAGGGAAGACAAGGCUUGCCGAGGAGGAGUUGGAGUGAUGGUAACAUGAAUAUGUGCUAGUUCAGAUUGCAGAUGGGAGUAGGUCUACUUGCAGGUGACAGCUCUGUUUUCUUGCUACCCCAGUAAAAUCACCUCUUUGAGCAACACAGUGUUUUCACUGCUGAUGCUGUAUUGAUCUUCGUCCCCAAAAUCCUCUACCAACAAUCCCAAAAUGACCCUGAAAACACUUCUGCCUCUAUUUCACAGUUUACUGUCCAGAGGACUGUGUGCCUGGAUGUCCAUCAUUGUCUCCAAGUCUGGUGAUGACUCUUUCCUGUUUGUCCUGCCUGUUUACAAGCAGAGGCAUGCAAUCCUGGAGGAGAAGCUCUGUCCUGUCCAGCCAAUAUUUCUGCCUAGGUUGGGAAAGAGAUCCUGGAUCUUUGUAACCUGGGAGGAGCCAGGGUCAGGCUCUGCAGGUGCCCAGGCAGAGGAUGGAGGACAGUGACUGCCUGGGCAGCAAUUGCAGAGCUAUUGCCAGGAGGAGCACACAGCAACAACCCUGGCACUGCAGGUGAACUGAGUCAUGCACCAUGCCAGAGCAUGGUCCUGCAAGAGCCUGCAUGCCUGGGCAACAGCUCCCCAAGGGCCUUUUGCAUCCUUGGGGUAUGACAACAUAGCAGAAAUGAGCAUGAACAGAAGGCCACAGUUUUAAAUGGUGGCUCUGGGGGGAAGAAGCCAAUGUGAUGCUCUAUCACAUAUUCUCAAGUGGGGAUAUUUUGCCCCCCAGUUGCAGAUUCUGUCAGAUUAUUGGGCCGUGCUGCUGUUCUACCCUCAGAAAUCUUUAGUUUUAAUAAAUACUUUUCCUAGAAUCCUGCAAGGCUCCCGGGCGCAGGCUCCACUGAUGGAAAAAUGAUGAUUAUUUAUUAAUACAAGUACAUUAGCCGAAGGCAAGGGGAAUUAAUAAACUAUAACUAGAUUGACAUGAAAAAGGUGCCUGCACAUCUGCCUCGUCUCCAAGGCUUGUUAUCAGGAGUGGAGCUUUUCCCAGGGGAAUUGUCCUGUGCAGAAAAGAACUAGGCAGGGUGGACAGAGAAAGGAGGGCAAUGGAUGGUCAUGUCCAUAUCAUAAUCGCUGCACAACUAUGGAGUCCUGGUCUGCACCCUCUUGUCCCAGACAUUUCUAAGAAUACCCUGUUGUGCCAGACUCUUGUCUGAGCAAAUGGUGUGUCCACUGAGACUCUUGAGACUUUAUAAGAUACAGUAAGAGUGAUGAAACACCCUUCAUGGGCCCAUCUGAAUACUAAUGGAGAAAAUGUUGCUCUCCACUCCCAAAGACAAAAGUCUUUGUCUUUCUACCAGCCCAAACCAGAACUGAUAUCAUCUUCAGGUAAGCAACUUUGUGGGCAUAGCUCAGGGAAAUAAUUCAGUUCCUCCUAGAAAAUGAGCCUGUAUAUUAAACAGCCACAGAGUCGUCUAACUUCUGUGUGCUCAUCUGGAGAAGGAUAUAUAAUCUUCUACUGGGACACAGGUUAAUAAUGCUACAGUAACAGUAGGAUAAUGCUGAGAAAGAGCUGUUAUAAGGCCAUAAUUCAGUCAAUGAGUUCUGAUAACAUAAUAAACCAGGAGAGUGAACACCAAGUGCUUGUGUGCCUUGCAAGGCUCUGCUACUGAUUUACAACCUCAGGAGAUGCCUAUCAGCCCAUGCAUUGUUAUCAGGGAUAUAUAAAGCAUGAGCACACCCUAUUAAACAUUAACAUUCUUAAAGGCUCAGAUGCGUUAAAACUCAAGCUGCUCCUUGCUAAUGGAUUUUGCUCACCUUGAAAAAUGCCAAUGCAAAAAGGAAUCAAAAGCUUUCUGACUUUGACCUCUUUCACUUUUUCAUAAUUAUGGCAUUGUUUUAUUGGAUUACACCUGCUUCUUCCCAUCCUGGAGAUUGGUAUUUCUACAGGAUCACUACACUGAUCACUAUCUCAAGUGUUUGCUAGGCUCAUUUCGAUACAAAUAACUUGCACUGGAUUGCCUUUCAUUUAUCUGUCAAAUCAGUGUGUGGUUCACAUCUACUGUGAGAAGAAAGACCCUGAAAAUACACUUUAAAAAAAAAACCAAACCAUUAUUUCACUGCAAAAUUCCAAUGAAAGAUUCUUUGGGUGUUUUUUUUUUCCAUAUUCUAAGCUGAAAAAUUGUAUGUGAUGGGCCUGGUCACUGAGAGAAGAAAAUAUCAUGUAUGUGCAUAGGACUAGUGCAUUGUCUCUGCAGAGCCUAGAGUGACAGUAUUUCCCUCUUCUGUUAAGCAUUUGCCCCUUUUAGCCACAAACCAUUCUCAAGAACUUUGUUGCUUUUAAAAGCCUUGUUCUUGACUGAAUAGAUGUCAUUCCUUCAUGAGUCUCACUUGGUGAUACAUGGAGAUCCUGGGAUUCAGUGCUUUUAAUGUACCUUAUAAUAUGUGUACCUAUAAGAAUACUCUUCCAGGCCCCACACUUCAGCCAACAAGCCAAGACAGCCUGACCUGGGAAGUGAGUACUGAGGAGGUAAGGUUAUAAAGAAUUUAUUUUCAAACUGUGGCUGAACAAAUCAAAUGCCUUGACAUAGCUCCACAGAUUUUCUUGGGUCUCUAGCUGCAGUCUGUCUCAACACAGUAUUGCAGAAAUCAUAUUAAUUCAAGGGCAAUUUGGGACAUACCAUGAAGGAUGGUUAGUUGGUAUGUAUCAGUAGAGCCAGGGUCCCCACAUCUUACUUUUGGACUCCCUGUCUUGAUGCAGAUAGAGAUGUGGAUUUAGAUACACCAGAAUUGCAACCCACAAUGUAAGAAAGAAGUUUGCUUUGGCUUUCAGCGCAGUGUUACUAUUUCUACCACAUUCCCCUCUAACCUGAUGAGGUUUUGGCCCAGUC